AAACCAUCUCGGUCAUUUCCAUCUUCACAGAGAAAAAUACACAGAAGAAAAAAAAUGAGCAUCACAGCUCAAGGGAUCCAUGUGAAGGUGUGACAGAAGCUGAGUGGCUCAUGGACAUCGAGUGAAUGAGCUGAAUGGACUCAACUCAUUUCCUCAUGCCUCAUGCCCAUUUAUACCAUAAGUCUUAAGAAAAGCCUCUCACCAGCAGCUCAACUGUCAUCUACUUCAGAGGACUCAUUCUGCUCUAAAAGAGAUUUGCCCAUUAUCUAUAUCAUCUCUAUCUCUAUCUCUAUCUCUAUCUCUAUCUCUAUAUCAUCUAUCUAUCUAUCUAUCUAUCUAUCUAUCUAUCUAUCUAUCUAUCUAUCUAUAUCUUCCAGCUAUGCUCCUACAACAAGACUUCAUUCUCAUCUCUCCCUUGUGUGGCUCAUGACUUCAUUCUCUGAAAUCACAAGACAACAACACUGUCACCAACUCUGUAAGUUUCAUGUGACCAUGGAUAUACUGUACUCUAGCUCCCAAGAUAAAGC
Molecule: long non-coding RNA, 527 nt
Filed under: Mus caroli (Ryukyu mouse)
Lineage: Eukaryota; Metazoa; Chordata; Mammalia; Rodentia; Muridae
Description: predicted gene 13569 (MGP_CAROLIEiJ_G0003186.1)
Source: RNAcentral